AGUGAACGCUGGCGGCAGGCCUAACACAUGCAAGUCGAACGGCAGCACAGUAAGAGCUUGCUCUUACGGGUGGCGAGUGGCGGGCGGGUGAGGAAAACAUCGUAAUCUACUUUUUCGUGGGGGAUAACGCAGGGAAACUUACGCCAAUACCGCAUACGACCUACGGGGGAAAGCAUGGGAUCUUCGGACCUUGCGCGAGUGAAUGAGCCGAUGUCGGAUUUGCUUGUUGGCGGGGUAAAGGCCCACCAAGGCGACGAUCGGUAGCUGGUCUGAGAGGAUGAUCAGCCACACUGGAACUGAGACACGGUCCAGACUCCUACGGGAGGCAGCAGUGGGGAAUAUUGGACAAUGGGCGCAAGCCUGAUCCAGCCAUACCGCGUGGGUGAAGAAGGCCUUCGGGUUGUAAAGCCCUUUUGUUGGGAAAGAAAAGCAGCAGGUUAAUACCCCGCUGUUCUGACGGUACCCAAAGAAUAAGCACCGGCUAACUUCGUG
Molecule: ribosomal RNA, 492 nt
Filed under: uncultured bacterium
Lineage: Bacteria
Description: partial 16S ribosomal RNA
Rfam family: Bacterial small subunit ribosomal RNA
Source: RNAcentral